RNA transcript from Synchiropus splendidus (mandarinfish), 740 nucleotides. It is a transcript of the gene named mitochondrial ribosomal protein S6, with no coding region annotated. The record is from RefSeq and is a predicted model, not a curated record. Lineage: Eukaryota; Metazoa; Chordata; Actinopteri; Syngnathiformes; Callionymidae. The transcript is spliced from 2 exons.
CCGCUUCCUCGUGUCAUGGUCGCCCACAGGCGGAGCGUUUAGCAGUAGCAGCAGCUCAGCAAAGUCAUGCCUCGCUACGAGCUGGCCUUGAUCCUGAAGGCGAUGCAGCGGCCAGAGACGGCGGCUGCUCUCCGCAGGACGGUGGAGACGCUGGUGGAACGAGGCGCGGUGGUGAGGGGUUUGGAGAACCUCGGCGAGAGGCUGCUGCCCUACAAGAUGAACAAGCACAACCAGAGACACAGCAGGGGCGCCUACUUUCUCAUCGACUUCUACGCGGCGCCCAGCAUCCUCACGGGUUUGAUGAACCACCUGCACCGAGACGUGGACGUGGUGAGACCCGCCGUGCUCAAGAAGGACACGCCCUCGCCCCGCGGCUCCUGUUGUGGCCUCCAGCAGUGAUGCGAGUGUAAGGAAUUACACGCUGCUGACUUUGAGAAAGCUCAUAGAGGACGUGCACAGCAUGUAACCAGCCCCGGACACACCUGUGCUCUUCAUGACCAUGACCACAUCCAUGCAUGAGUCUCAUUGGUGGCAUGCUGUUUCUCCAGGGAUGAUGCACAAGAUCCGUGUAGGUGGAGGCUGUUAGGGCUCUAAUUCCCACCCUAUCCUACAUCCAAGUUUUUUUUUAUGAUCCAGUCCAAGAGAUUCCUGCCCAUGCAUGUCGGACUGGAGUUGGAUUUCAGACCAAAGUUUUUGUUCUUGUCUGCAAGAAGAAUUAAAUAUAUGUACAUGUGUUUUGC